GGAGGGAUCGCAUAGUCUGGCCUAGUGCGCGGCACUGGAAAUGCCGUUGGGGGUUUACGCCCCCUCGAGGGUUCAAAUCCCUCUCCCUCCGCCA
Molecule: transfer RNA, 94 nt
Filed under: Acidimicrobiia bacterium
Lineage: Bacteria; Bacillati; Actinomycetota; Acidimicrobiia
Description: tRNA-Ser
Rfam family: tRNA
About the family: Transfer RNA (tRNA) molecules are approximately 80 nucleotides in length. Their secondary structure includes four short double-helical elements and three loops (D, anti-codon, and T loops).
Source: RNAcentral